Molecule: long non-coding RNA, 610 nt
Organism: Hylaeus volcanicus
Lineage: Eukaryota; Metazoa; Arthropoda; Insecta; Hymenoptera; Colletidae
Exons: 2
Source: RefSeq, a predicted model, not a curated record
GUUUUCUAUAAUGCACACUAUAAGAUGGAAAACAUGAAUGAAAAAUUCAUUAUAAUUACAGUCUUUUCCUUUAACGACUACCCGUAAAACAUCCAAAUUUAUAAGUGUCAUAUGGUGAAACUAGUAACAAAAAAAACUAAGAAGGAAAAAUUCUAAUUAUUGUUCCGUCCAAAGCUGAAAAUUGAAAUACCCAACAUUGAGAUUAGUCGAAAAGUCGUUGAUGGAAUAUUUGAGAUAGCCCCCAUCUUAAUGAAGCAUGAUGAGGAAUAAAUUAAUUAAUAUAGUCGUUUUUGUAAAGCAAGAUUGUUGCGUGAAACAGACAAAGUUCAUGUAUUUGUCUAUAAAAGGGUAGUGUUCGUAACCUAUGUUGCAGUUAUCUAUAAAUCGAGAGGCAUUAAUAGCUUUGUGGUAUCCCCCAGAAAAUUCUGGCUGAAAGACAAACCAUUACAAGAAAAUCAUUAAUUGAAAAUUAAUUAAAAUUUUUAUUGUAUUAGGAACAUUUUAAUACUCUUAAUAUGUUGAUCUAACCCAUUUUAAUUUUUUUUUUGGAAGAAUUGUAUCGAAUUCCUUACAUAUAAAAAUUUGGUUGAAUACACUGUACCACCUAUUG